This 500-nucleotide ribosomal RNA is filed under the name uncultured bacterium. RNAcentral describes it as "partial 16S ribosomal RNA". It matches the Rfam family "Bacterial small subunit ribosomal RNA", at positions 30 to 523 of the family's 1533-position model. The record is from RNAcentral.
AUUGAACGCUGGCGGAAUGCUUUACACAUGCAAGUCGAACGGCAGCACGGACUUCGGUCUGGUGGCGAGUGGCGAACGGGUGAGUAAUGUAUCGGAACGUGCCCAGUCGUGGGGGAUAACGUAGUGAAAAUUACGCUAAUACCGCAUACGAUCUAUGGAUGAAAGCGGGGGAUCGCAAGACCUCGCGCGAUUGGAGCGGCCGAUAUCAGAUUAGGUAGUUGGUGGGGUAAAGACCAACCAAGCCAACGAUCUGUAGCUGGUCUGAGAGGACGACCAGCCACACUGGAACUGAGACACGGUCCAGACGCCUACGGGAGGCAGCAGUGGGGAAUUUUGGACAAUGGGCGAAAGCCUGAUCCAGCCAUUCCGCGUGCAGGAUGAAGGCCCUCGGGUUGUAAACUGCUUUUGUACAGAACGAAAAGGCUUCUACUAAUACUAGGAGCUCAUGACGGUACUGUAAGAAUAAGCACCGGCUAACUACGUGCCAGCAGCCGCAGUAA